This is a long non-coding RNA of Eutrema salsugineum, 1507 nucleotides long. RefSeq lists it as uncharacterized. The transcript has 2 exons. Lineage: Eukaryota; Viridiplantae; Streptophyta; Magnoliopsida; Brassicales; Brassicaceae. The record is from RefSeq and is a predicted model, not a curated record.
UCAGUCGAAACAAAAAUUCUGGCUAUGGAUUGGAGAUAGGGAUCAUCUUCUUCUUUUUCUUCUUCUUUUUCUUCUUCUGCUUCUGCUAAAUUGACCAGUACAGGUUGAUUCAUCGUCACACCGCCAAGAAAGGUACGGCUGGAAAGAGUCUAGCUUCUUUGAGCGAAGCAGUUUUUGGAGGAGAGAGUUCGAAAAGAAGUAAGUUUCAUCAUUAUAUCGAAAGCUUAGAUGAUGCGAUUGAUUUGUUCGAUGAAAUGGCUCGAUCUCGUCGCUUCCCUUCCGCAAUCGAUUUCAAUAAUCUAAUUGGAUUCAUCCUGAGAAUGAAACGGCCCGACGCUCUGAUUUCUCUCUAUCAGAAGAUGGAAUUGCAUCUGGAUUCCACGCAAUAUCUACAGCUUCAAUACCCUGAUGAAAUGUUUCUGCAGCUGCUCUAAGCUUUCUUUUGCUUUGUCAACACUUGGGAAAAAACAACAAACUUGGGUUAUGUCUCGAAGAUAGGAUCUCUGAAGCCAUAGCUUUCUUUGAUCUAAUGCUUUGUGUCAUAGCGUUCAACACAAUAUGUUGUAAAGGGAAUGUGUAAGAUGGGCGACACUGUCUCGGCCUUGAAUCUGCUUAGAAAGAUGGAGAAAAGCCGCAUCAAAGCCAUGAUGAUCGGCUAGAUGAGGCAAAAACAGAUAUUUGGUUUGAUGGCUAGCAAGGGAUGCUCUCCAAAUGUAGUCACUUUCAAUACUUUCAUGGUGUGUGCUCUGAUAUAUUAAGGAAUAACAUUUUUGCUGGACGGUCUCUGCGAUGAUAAUGGGAAACUGGAAGAGGCAUUGGAAAUGUUUGAGGUUAUGCAGAAGAGUAAGAUUGAUGUUGAUACUGCUACAUAUAACAUCAUCAUCCAUGGAAUGUGACGUAGCAUGGGACUUAUUUUUGAAGUCUCCCUCUCGAUGGUGUGGAGUCUGAAGCAAUAUCUGAAGUAAAUAUAAUGAUAUAUAGAUUUUGCGGAAAAGGUGCGAUAUCUGAAGUAUAAUGCGAUAUUCCAGAAAAUGAAGGACAAUGAAUAUGUACCAAAUGGCUCUACAUAUAAUAUACUAAUCAGAGGAAAUGCAAAGCAACAUGUUCUGUUCAGAUGCAUCCACCCUGAAAAUGGUAGAUGAUCAAUCUGAUGGUGGAUCGGACAAGAGCUUUGUGGAUAUGCUGUUUUAGUGUUUGGUGUGGUGUUUUUUGUGACAAGAAAUCUAUCUUAGUCUUUUUCCUUCUAUGGUAUGUCCUACUCACUCACUUGUGUUCUUUUCUGUUGUUUGAUGCUAUGUGUCAUGGAAUAGGAUUUUUGCAGAGGUUUCAGCCUCUUAAGAUUUGCAAGAAGUUUCUCGAGGAACGCUUUUUGUCUUGUCCUCUCUAGAUUACAUGUAAUCUCAAAAUUGAAUCCAGAUAUUAUCUCAUCUUUGUUUCAUAUAACUUGGCUAAUUGUACUCAAAGUUUUGAGGGUUGACUUAUGAAAAUGGAAUCAUUUUGUCUCGCA